UACGGAGGAUGCGAGCGUUAUCCGGAUUUAUUGGGUUUAAAGGGUGCGUAGGCGGACUUAUAAGUCAGUGGUGAAAUCUCGUUGCUUAACAACGAACGUGCCAUUGAUACUGUAGGUCUUGAGUACAGAUGCCGUUGGCGGAAUGUGUCAUGUAGCGGUGAAAUGCAUAGAUAUGACACAGAACACCGAUUGCGAAGGCAGCUGACGAAACUGUAACUGACGCUGAGGCACGAAAGCGUGGGGAUCAAACAGG
This 253-nucleotide ribosomal RNA is filed under the name uncultured bacterium. RNAcentral's name for it is "partial 16S ribosomal RNA". It matches the Rfam family "Bacterial small subunit ribosomal RNA", at positions 524 to 776 of the family's 1533-position model. The record is from RNAcentral.